AUACGGAGGGUGCAAGCGUUAUCCGGAUUUACUGGGUUUAAAGGGUACGCAGGCGGUAAUUUAAGUCAGUGGUGAAAGCCUACAGCUCAACUGUAGAACUGCCAUUGAAACUGAAUUACUUGAGUAUGGUAGAGGUAGGCGGAAUACAACAUGUAGCGGUGAAAUGCAUAGAUAUGUUGUAGAACACCGAUUGCGAAGGCAGCUUACUAAACCAUUACUGACGCUCAUGUACGAAAGCGUGGGGAGCGAACAGGAUUAGAUACCCUAGUAGUCC
Molecule: ribosomal RNA, 274 nt
Filed under: uncultured bacterium
Lineage: Bacteria
Description: partial 16S ribosomal RNA
Rfam family: Bacterial small subunit ribosomal RNA
Source: RNAcentral